RNAcentral lists this ribosomal RNA (481 nucleotides) under uncultured bacterium. RNAcentral describes it as "partial 16S ribosomal RNA". It matches the Rfam family "Bacterial small subunit ribosomal RNA", at positions 28 to 507 of the family's 1533-position model. The record is from RNAcentral.
GAUGAACGCUGGCGGCGUGCCUAACACAUGCAAGUCGAACGGAGAUUACGGACGGAAGUUUUCGGAUGGAAGCCUGUAAUUCUUAGUGGCGGACGGGUGAGUAACGCGUGGGCAACCUGCCCUAUACAGGGGGAUAGCAGCUGGAGACGGCUGGUAAGACCGCAUAAGUCGGUUAAAUCGCAUGAUUUGAUCGGGAAAUGAGCAAUCAGGUAUAGGAUGGGCCCGCGUCCGAUUAGCCAGUUGGCAGGGUAAAAGCCUACCAAAGCGACGAUCGGUAGCCGGACUGAGAGGUCGGACGGCCACAUUGGGACUGAGACACGGCCCAAACUCCUACGGGAGGCAGCAGUGGGGGAUAUUGCACAAUGGAGGAAACUCUGAUGCAGCGACGCCGCGUGAGUGAAGAAGUAUUUCGGUAUGUAAAGCUCUAUCAGCAGGGAAGAUGAUGACGGUACCUGACUAAGAAGCCCCGGCUAACUACGUG